CCCUAAGAUUAGGUCUCCCAUCCGGAUAACGGAGUAAGACUCCUUGCAGACUACAAGGUGGAUAGGCCGGAGGUGUAAGCGUGGCAACACGUUCAGCCGACCGGUACUAAUAAGUCGAGGGCUUGGUUCG
RNAcentral lists this ribosomal RNA (130 nucleotides) under Actinomycetes bacterium. RNAcentral's name for it is "Actinobacteria bacterium (groundwater metagenome) partial 23S ribosomal RNA". It matches the Rfam family "Bacterial large subunit ribosomal RNA", at positions 2797 to 2925 of the family's 2925-position model. Lineage: Bacteria; Bacillati; Actinomycetota; Actinomycetes. The record is from RNAcentral. RNAcentral also lists the same sequence under 1 other name.